RNAcentral lists this ribosomal RNA (253 nucleotides) under uncultured bacterium. RNAcentral describes it as "partial 16S ribosomal RNA". It matches the Rfam family "Bacterial small subunit ribosomal RNA", at positions 524 to 776 of the family's 1533-position model. The record is from RNAcentral.
UACGUAGGUGGCAAGCGUUGUCCGGAUUUACUGGGCGUAAAGAGCGCGCAGGCGGUCGUUCAAGUCGAGUGUGAAAGCCCCCGGCUCAACUGGGGAGGGUCACUCGAUACUGAUCGACUCGAAGGCAGGAGAGGGAAGCGGAAUUCCCGGUGUAGUGGUGAAAUGCGUAGAUAUCGGGAGGAACACCGGUGGCGAAGGCGGCGACCUGGGUAGAUACUGACGCUGAGGCGCGAAAGCGUGGGGAGCGAACAGG